GAGAAUUAUUAAUUAAUUACAAAUAUGCUUAAGAUCCAAAACUUGAUACCUUGAUAAAGUAAAGGAACCAAGAUGAUUAAGUUUAUGUUGGCAAGCCUUAAGAUACCAAACUUGAUGCUGCAGUAAAGUUUAAGAGAAAUACAAUUAUUAUCCCAGAAAGCUAAAAUUUCCAAGCAGAGUCGAGGAUAUGUAUAAUCCAAGAACUAGAAUGUCAUAACUUAUUGCAGAGUACUCUCGCAAAUUUUCUUACCCAAAAUGUCCAGAAGGGAUCAAGAAGCCAAAACCACCAUUGAAGUGCAAGCAACGAAGGUUGCCAGAGCAGAAGCAGAUCAAGCAAGCGGAAGCCAUGACCAGCUAGUUGAUGAGAACAAAGCUACUGGAAGCCAUAGCCAACUUAUUGAGGAGAGCCAGAAGCUGAGCAUCCUAAUCCAUGAAAAACCAAGGAGCACCUGCAGUUGGCAGGACAGGUUGAAUUCCUUGAAGCUGGGACCUGAAAAUGAAAAUCCCGCUUCACGGAUACAGAAAGUUCCAUUCAUGCUCAGGGAGAACAAGGAAUUCGAGAAGUAUUACAAACCAAAGAUGGUUGCAAUUGGUCCUAUCCACCAUCGUGAUCCCAAUUUUGAGUUCACUGAGAAGAGGAAGCAUAUAGUAGCUGGUGAUUUCAUCAAAGAACAUGGGAUAGAUGCAGAAAAUCUUUAUGACAAGAUUAUGGAUGGUUUGGGCAAUUUGAAAAUGCGCUAUGUAGAGGAUGUGAUAAAGGACUAUACGGAUGAUGAGCUCGCCUGGAUGUUCCUGGUGGAUGGAUGCGCAAUCCUGCAUUUUAUACAUUGUGUUGUGAAUGAUGAGAAAAAUGAUCCACAAUAUUCUGCAAAGUUGGAGAAAUUCAACUUCAAGAAAAACCAGGUGGCGUAUGCUCAACAGGAUUUGUUCUUGUUCGAGAAUCAACUUCCUUAUCAACUCCUUGAGCUAUUGAUAAGCUCGGUAGUUCAGAAUAAGGAGAGGGAAGAUAUCAGAGAGUCUAUCAGAAACUUCAUUGAUAUGAACCUGAUGACUCCAGAAUCAACAACAAAGAGCAUUGAUAUGAACCUGAUGACUCCAGAAUCAACAACAAAGAGCAGACAAAGAGGAAGAAAACCUUCAGAGAAUCCCUGUCAUCUUCUUGAGCUUCUGUGGGAAGAACUUACAGAUGGAAUAUUGCCACAGAGUGGCGGAUUGACAAUGCACUCGUUCCGUAAUGUCAAAGAGCUCAUGACAUCAGGGAUCCAGUUGAAAGCAAGUAGUGAAAAUUCCUUAAACAUUUCAUUCAAUCAAUUUUGCUUCACAGGAACCUUACAAAUUCCUUCCCUGGUUGUAGACGAUUCGACAGCAGCCAAGUUCUUGAACCUAAUAGCAUACGAAAUGUGCCCUGAUUUCAUGAAUGAUUUUCAGGUCACCUCCUACAUAUGCUUCCUGGAUUCGCUCAUUGAUCAUCCUGAAGAUGUCCAGGAGCUUAGAAAGGCGAAAAUUCUCACAAAUUGUCUUGGCAGUGAUGAAGAAGUAGCUAAACUCUUCAACGAGAUAGGCACAGACUUAGUUCCAAACCCUGAUCUAUAUGCCAAAGUGAAAGCUGAUAUCCAUGAACACUACAAGAAUCGAUGCAAAACCUAUUUAGCUGAGGCCUAUCACACCUAUUUCAGUAGUCCCUGGACUUUCCUUGCUUUUCUUGGUGCCUUGCUUGCACUUCUUUUCAGUGCUGUUCAAGCUUAUUUCUCGCUUCCUUCUGAAAAAAGUUAAUGAAAGGUGCUUAGGAUCCUGGUAAUUAUGUAUCAUCAUUGCCUAAAUUACGACAUUUUCCAUCUUUUCAUCUUUGGCUUGGACGAUUGUUAAUUUGUAAUGACAAUAAAUCAGAG
RNAcentral lists this unclassified non-coding RNA (1889 nucleotides) under Hevea brasiliensis (rubber tree). The record is from RNAcentral. Lineage: Eukaryota; Viridiplantae; Streptophyta; Magnoliopsida; Malpighiales; Euphorbiaceae.